UUCCAGGCCUACGGGUUGUAACUGCUUUUAUGCGGGAAGAAUACUGUAUAUUCGUUAUACGGAUGACUGUACCGCAAGAAUAAGCAUCGGCUAACUCCGUGCCAGCAGCCGCGGUAAUACGGAGGAUGCGAGCGUUAUCCGGAUUUAUUGGGUUUAAAGGGUGCGCAGGCGGUGGAACAAGUCAGUGGUGAAAGCCCGGGGCUUAACUUCGGGAUUGCCAUUGAAACUGUUUCACUUGAGUGUAGUUGAGGACGGCGGAAUGAGUUGUGUAGCGGUGAAAUGCAUAGAUAUAACUCAGAACACCAAUUGCGAAGGCAGCUGUCUAGACUACAACUGACGCUGAGGCACGAAAGCGUGGGUAGCGAACAGGAUUAGAUACCCUGGUAGUCCACGCUGUAAACGAUGAUCACUCGUUGUUGGCUACUUAGUAGUCAGUGACUAAGGGAAACCGAUAAGUGAUCCACCUGGGGAGUACGUCGGCAACGAUGAAACUCAAAGGAAUUGACGGGGGCCCGCACAAGCGGAGGAACAUGUGGUUUAAUUCGAUGAUACGCGAGGAACCUUACCUGGGCUUAAAUGCUGGCUGCAUUCACGCGAAAGCGUGAUUUCCUACGGGACCGCCAGCAAGGUGCUGCAUGGUUGUCGUCAGCUCGUGCCGUGAGGUGUCGGGUUAAGUCCCAUAACGAGCGCAACCCCUAUCGUUAGUUGCCAGCAUGUAAUGGUGGGGACUCUAGCGAGACUGCCGGUGUAAACCGGAGGAAGGUGGGGAUGACGUCAAAUCAGCACGGCCCUUACGUCCAGGGCUACACACGUGUUACAAUGGCCGGUACAAAGAGCAGCCACCUGGCGACAGGGCGCUAAUCUCAAAAACCGGCCUCAGUUCGGAUCGAAGUCUGCAAUUCGACUUCGUGAAGGUGGAUUCGCUAGUAAUCGCGCAUCAGCCAUGGCGCGGUGAAUAAGUUCCCGGGCCUUGCACUCACC
Molecule: ribosomal RNA, 981 nt
Filed under: uncultured Bacteroidota bacterium
Lineage: Bacteria; Pseudomonadati; Bacteroidota
Description: bacterial SSU rRNA
Rfam family: Bacterial small subunit ribosomal RNA
Source: RNAcentral